This 1430-nucleotide ribosomal RNA is filed under the name uncultured organism. RNAcentral's name for it is "16S ribosomal RNA". It matches the Rfam family "Bacterial small subunit ribosomal RNA". The record is from RNAcentral.
CGCUGGCGGCGUGCUUAACACAUGCAAGUCGAACGGAAAGGCCCUGCUUUUGUGGGGUGCUCGAGUGGCGAACGGGUGAGUAACACGUGAGUAACCUGCCCUUGACUUUGGGAUAACUUCAGGAAACUGGGGCUAAUACCGGAUAGGAGCUCCUGCUGCAUGGUGGGGGUUGGAAAGUUUCGGCGGUUGGGGAUGGACUCGCGGCUUAUCAGCUUGUUGGUGGGGUAGUGGCUUACCAAGGCUUUGACGGGUAGCCGGCCUGAGAGGGUGACCGGCCACAUUGGGACUGAGAUACGGCCCAGACUCCUACGGGAGGCAGCAGUGGGGAAUAUUGCACAAUGGGCGGAAGCCUGAUGCAGCAACGCCGCGUGCGGGAUGACGGCCUUCGGGUUGUAAACCGCUUUCGCCUGUGACGAAGCGUGAGUGACGGUAAUGGGUAAAGAAGCACCGGCUAACUACGUGCCAGCAGCCGCGGUGAUACGUAGGGUGCGAGCGUUGUCCGGAUUUAUUGGGCGUAAAGGGCUCGUAGGUGGUUGAUCGCGUCGGAAGUGUAAUCUUGGGGCUUAACCCUGAGCGUGCUUUCGAUACGGGUUGACUUGAGGAAGGUAGGGGAGAAUGGAAUUCCUGGUGGAGCGGUGGAAUGCGCAGAUAUCAGGAGGAACACCAGUGGCGAAGGCGGUUCUCUGGGCCUUUCCUGACGCUGAGGAGCGAAAGCGUGGGGAGCGAACAGGCUUAGAUACCCUGGUAGUUCACGCUGUAAACGGUGGGUACUAGGUGUGGGGUCCAUUCCACGGGUUCCGUGCCGUAGCUAACGCUUUAAGUACCCCGCCUGGGGAGUACGGCCGCAAGGCUAAAACUCAAAGGAAUUGACGGGGCCCCGCACAAGCGGCGGAGCAUGCGGAUUAAUUCGAUGCAACGCGUAGAACCUUACCUGGGUUUGACAUGGAUCGGGAGUGCUCAGAGAUGGGUGUGCCUCUUUUGGGGUCGGUUCACAGGUGGUGCGUGGCUGUCGUCAGCUCGUGUCGUGAGAUGUUGGGUUAAGUCCCGCAACGAGCGCAACCCUUGUUCACUGUUGCCAGCACGUUAUGGUGGGGACUCAGUGGAGACCGCCGGGGUCAACUCGGAGGAAGGUGGGGAUGACGUCAAGUCAUCAUGCCCCUUAUGUCCAGGGCUUCACGCAUGCUACAAUGGCUGGUACAGAGAGUGGCGAGCCUGUGAGGGUGAGCGAAUCUCGGAAAGCCGGUCUCAGUUCGGAUUGGGGUCUGCAACUCGACCUCAUGAAGUCGGAGUCGCUAGUAAUCGCAGAUCAGCAACGCUGCGGUGAAUACGUUCCCGGGGCUUGUACACACCGCCCGUCAAGUCAUGAAAGUUGGUAACACCCGAAGCCGGUGGCCUAACCGUUGUGGGGGAGCCGUCGAAGGUGGGACUGG